AUUGAACGCUGGCGGCAGGCCUAACACAUGCAAGUCGAGCGGAUGAAGGGAGCUUGCUCCUGGAUUCAGCGGCGGACGGGUGAGUAAUGCCUAGGAAUCUGCCUGGUAGUGGGGGAUAACGUCCGGAAACGGGCGCUAAUACCGCAUACGUCCUGAGGUAGAAAGUGGGGGAUCUUCGGACCUCCCGCUAUCAGAUGAGCCUAGGUCGGAUUCGCUAGUUGGUGGGUUAAAGGCCUACCAAGGGGACGCACCGUCACUGGUCUGAGAGGAUGAUCAGUCACACUGGAACUGAGACACGGUCCAGACUCCUACGGGAGGCAGCAGUGGGGAAUAUUGGACAAUGGGCGAAAGCCUGAUCCAGCCAUGCCGCGUGUGUGAAGAAGGUCUUCGGAUUGUAAAGCACUUUAAGUUGGGAGGAAGGGCAGUAAGUUAAUACCUUGCUGUUUUGACGUUACCAACAGAAUAAGCACCGGCUAACUUCGUG
RNAcentral lists this ribosomal RNA (484 nucleotides) under uncultured bacterium. RNAcentral describes it as "partial 16S ribosomal RNA". It matches the Rfam family "Bacterial small subunit ribosomal RNA", at positions 30 to 507 of the family's 1533-position model. The record is from RNAcentral.